This 365-nucleotide ribosomal RNA is filed under the name uncultured Pelotomaculum sp. Its description in RNAcentral is "bacterial SSU rRNA". It matches the Rfam family "Bacterial small subunit ribosomal RNA", at positions 1016 to 1382 of the family's 1533-position model. The record is from RNAcentral. Lineage: Bacteria; Bacillati; Bacillota; Clostridia; Eubacteriales; Desulfotomaculaceae.
ACCCUCGGGUGACAGGGAGACAGGUGGUGCAUGGUUGUCGUCAGCUCGUGUCGUGAGAUGUUGGGUUAAGUCCCGCAACGAGCGCAACCCCUACGUUUAGUUGCUAACAGGUGAAGCUGAGCACUCUAGACGAACUGCCGUUGCAAAACGGAGGAAGGUGGGAUGACGUCAAAUCAUCAUGCCCUUAUGUUCUGGGCUACACACGUGCUACAAUGGCCGGUACAGACGGAGGCGAAGCCGCGAGGCGGAGCAAAUCCGAAAAAGCCGGUCUCAGUUCGGAUUGCAGGCUGCAAUUCGCCUGCAUGAAGUCGGAAUCGCUAGUAAUCGCAGGUCAGCAUACUGCGGUGAAUACGUUCCCGGGCCUU